This is a long non-coding RNA of Sinocyclocheilus rhinocerous, 255 nucleotides long. RefSeq lists it as uncharacterized. The transcript has 3 exons. Lineage: Eukaryota; Metazoa; Chordata; Actinopteri; Cypriniformes; Cyprinidae. The record is from RefSeq and is a predicted model, not a curated record.
CGAGACCGAACGAGAUGGCCGCUUCCUCAAAAUGUAAACAGAAGUGAGUAGAUGCACAGUGAAGAAGACAUGUGAGCAGAAACUCCAUCGUAUGUGCUGUGAUGGGUUCUGCUCCGUGGCUGAUAAAAUGGAGACUAAAGGGACCGACGAGGUGGAGAACCUGAAGUCCAAGUUUAUGUCAGCAUGGCACAAUGUGAAAUAUAGUUGGGCUCUUAAGUCAAAAACUGCCUUCAGCCGUAAUUCUCCUGUUUUCUU